CGUUAGGAAGCUAAACAGGAUGCAGCAUUAGCCUUUUAAGCUAAAAACUGGUGACCCCCAACCACCCCUAACGU
This 74-nucleotide transfer RNA is filed under the name Callopanchax monroviae. RNAcentral's name for it is "tRNA-Lys". The record is from RNAcentral. Lineage: Eukaryota; Metazoa; Chordata; Actinopteri; Cyprinodontiformes; Nothobranchiidae.